This 305-nucleotide ribosomal RNA is filed under the name uncultured bacterium. RNAcentral describes it as "bacterial SSU rRNA". It matches the Rfam family "Bacterial small subunit ribosomal RNA", at positions 335 to 634 of the family's 1533-position model. The record is from RNAcentral.
UGCCUACGGGAGGCAGCAGUGGGGAAUCUUCCGCAAUGGGCGAAAGCCUGACGGAGCAACGCCGCGUGAUCGAAUGAAGGCCUUCGGGUUGUAAAGAUCUGUUGACAGGGACGAAUAAGCAAUGCGAAUAGUUUUGUGUAUGACGGUACCUGUUUAGAAAGCUCCGGCUAAAUACGUGCCAGCAGCCGCGGUAAUACGUAUGGUGCAAGCGUUAUCCGGAUUUACUGGGUGUAAAGGGAGCGCAGGCGGGGCGGCAAGUCUGAUGUGAAAGCCCGGGGCUCAACCCCGGGACUGCAUUGGGAACU